CAAUGUGCUGCCAUUCAUCUUCUCAUCAGAAAAGCACCCCUUCCUUCUGUGCUGAACAACCCAUAUCUAAUUUAUCUCAGCCAUGGAAAACAUGCUGUCCUCCACGUUCUGAAGCACUAUCGAGCCUCUAGUGAUGAAGCUGCACGAUGAGCUGAGAAUUUAGAAAAAAAGAGCAGCGAGAGCAAGCGAACUGGAGAGGCCCCCUGAUGAAAACCCAGUGACAACAGCUGUAAUCACAAGAGCGCAGGCAUUUGUUUUGUCAGCAGAAAAGAAAGCUUCAGCGGGGGAAGUGUGUUUUCACAAUGAGGCUUAUAUGACGGCUCCUGCCUCUGUGGACGUGAAUUUGAAUGUGUAUUAAGUGCUUGGACAGGUAGAAGAAUGAAGAGCGACAGCACUUGUUGCACCUGUGACACUGAUCCUCAUUUAGAAGUCUGGAACGGACCAGAUGAAGGUGGAAACACUGGCUGUGUGAUAUGAAGGGCGGAGCUCACUGCAGGCUCCCGCCCUUGGCACACACCUGCAUCUCGUCAGGCUCUGAUUACGGGUUGGACUCUUAAGGCCGGGAUGCAGACAGCCUCACCGCUGGAUGAUUAUGCUAGACACUUUUUCCCGGACCCGUGACCAACCUGUUAUUUCAACUGCUGUGGAGAAGAAGAGCUAGCGUGUUUGUGACUCCAAUCCCGGACCUCCCUUUCGGACCUAGGACCCCCGUUCCUCUCACUGUAUAUAUCUGCACUUGGUGAUUGUGUAAAUAAACGUUGUUUUCCCUGAACCCUGCUCUGCGCCUGAGUCCUACUACAC
Molecule: long non-coding RNA, 801 nt
Organism: Oreochromis niloticus (Nile tilapia)
Lineage: Eukaryota; Metazoa; Chordata; Actinopteri; Cichliformes; Cichlidae
Exons: 4
Source: RefSeq, a predicted model, not a curated record